This 224-nucleotide ribosomal RNA is filed under the name uncultured bacterium. RNAcentral's name for it is "partial 16S ribosomal RNA". It matches the Rfam family "Bacterial small subunit ribosomal RNA", at positions 524 to 746 of the family's 1533-position model. The record is from RNAcentral.
UACGAAGGGGGCUAGCGUUGCUCGGAAUUACUGGGCGUAAAGCGCACUAGGCGGCUUGUUAAGUCGGAGGUGAAAUCCUGGAGCUCAACUCCAGAACUGCCUUCGAUACUGGCGAGCUCGAGUCCCGGGGAGAGGUGAGUGGAACUGCGAGUGUAGAGGUGAAAUUCGUAGAUAUUCGCAAGAACACCAGUGGCGAAGGCGGCUCACUGGCCCGGUACUGACGC